Molecule: ribosomal RNA, 465 nt
Filed under: uncultured bacterium
Lineage: Bacteria
Description: partial 16S ribosomal RNA
Rfam family: Bacterial small subunit ribosomal RNA
Source: RNAcentral
GACGAACGCUGGCGGCGUGCUUAACACAUGCAAGUCGAACGGAAAGGCCUUGUUUGUAGGGUACUCGAGUGGGGAACGGGUGCGUAACACGUGGGCGUUCUGACCCUUACUCCGGGAUAAGCCUGGCAUACUGGGUCAAAUAUCGGAUAGGCGUCAUUUUUACAGUUCUGGUUGGAAAGUUUUUUCGGUUUUGGAUGAGCUCGCGGCCUAUCAGCUUGUUGGUGGGGUUAUGGCCUUCCAAGGCGGCCACGGGUAGGCGGCCUGAGAGGGUGGACGGCCACAUUGGGACUAAGACACGGCCCAGACUCCUACAGGAAGCAUCAGUGGGGAAUAUUGCACUAAGGGCGCAAGCCUGAUUGAACGACGCCGCGUGGAGGGUGACGGCCUUCGGGUUGUAAACGCCUUUCGCUAGGUACGAAUCUUUUUGUGACGGUACCUGGAUAAGAAGCACCGGCUAACUACGUG